Molecule: long non-coding RNA, 920 nt
Filed under: Lathyrus oleraceus (garden pea)
Lineage: Eukaryota; Viridiplantae; Streptophyta; Magnoliopsida; Fabales; Fabaceae
Description: Pisum sativum (pea) long non-coding RNA (PSAT_LNC002676)
Source: RNAcentral
CGCAAAAAAUCAAUCCCUGUGGCCAAAACAUCAACAAUUCUUGAGAUCUUUGAUACUCCAAUUGCGAGCACACAAACAACAAGUGUCUGCGAUUUACAGCAGUUUUAAAAACCACAUCUCAGCCAUCACUGCAAAUUAAAAUCAUGUUUGGCAAACACAGUUAAUCUCAAGACUCGGAAUACACAACCCAACUAGUACCACCCGCAGUCUUCACUCCUUUCUCUUUCAUUUCCCUUAUCAUUCUAUCAGCCUCCAAGAAUUACAUAUUUAACAAACAUUUUACCGACUCUCUCAUUGUGGCCGAUACCAAAAGAGUGUCGAUACCAAUAUUGUUAUUUACAUUUCUUAUGAUAAAGAAUAUAUUAUGAUUAAUUCAUACGGCGAUUACCGCAAUUAGUGUUGCAACACCUCUAUCGAUUAAAAUUGCAAAAACCUUAGCGGGUAGUCGGAACUUUAUAUGCCUACAAAGAAUGCUUAUUUAGUUUAGAACAUCCCCGAUAGUACUGUAGGAAAGUUUUAUUUUUAAAUUAUGAUCCGCAAAAACAAUUGUUGGCAUGUUAGAUCCCAUGAUUUUUUAACUUUGCAUUCCUUUAGAAGCUCAGUAGUAGCCUCAAAACUAUCUCAUGUCCAACACAUCCACCGCAAAAAAUCAAUCCCUGUGGCCAAAACAUCAACAAUUCUUGAGAUCUUUGAUACUCCAAUUGCGAGCACACAAACAACAAGUGUCUGCGAUUUACAGCAGUUUUAAAAACCACAUCUCAGCCAAGACUGCAAAUUAAAAUCAUGUUUGGCAAACACAGUUAAUCUCAAGACUCGGAAUACACAACCCAACUAGUACCACCCGCAGUCUUCACUCCUUUCUCUUUCAUUUCCCUUAUCAUUCUAUCAGCCUCCUCCUGUCUCCCAACACUAGCAUAAAN